GCUCCCGUAGUGUAGUGGUUAUCACGUCUGCUUUACACGCAGAAGGUCCCAGGUUCGAGCCCUGGCAGGAGCA
Molecule: transfer RNA, 73 nt
Filed under: Procambarus clarkii (red swamp crayfish)
Lineage: Eukaryota; Metazoa; Arthropoda; Malacostraca; Decapoda; Cambaridae
Description: transfer RNA valine (anticodon UAC)
Rfam family: tRNA
About the family: Transfer RNA (tRNA) molecules are approximately 80 nucleotides in length. Their secondary structure includes four short double-helical elements and three loops (D, anti-codon, and T loops).
Source: RNAcentral